UACGAAGGGGGCUAGCGUUGUUCGGAAUCACUGGGCGUAAAGCGCACGUAGGCGGAUUGUUAAGUCGGGGGUGAAAUCCUGAGGCUCAACCUCAGAACUGCCUCCGAUACUGGCAAUCUCGAGUUCGGAAGAGGUUGUGGAACAGCUAGUGUAGAGGUGAAAUUCGUAGAUAUUAGCUAGAACACCAGUGGCGAAGGCGGCCAACUGGUCCGACCACUGACGCUGAGGUGCGAAAG
RNAcentral lists this ribosomal RNA (236 nucleotides) under uncultured bacterium. RNAcentral's name for it is "partial 16S ribosomal RNA". It matches the Rfam family "Bacterial small subunit ribosomal RNA", at positions 524 to 759 of the family's 1533-position model. The record is from RNAcentral.